Onthophagus taurus is the source of this 1354-nucleotide long non-coding RNA. RefSeq lists it as uncharacterized. NCBI's taxonomy places the organism in Eukaryota, Metazoa, Arthropoda, Insecta, Coleoptera, Scarabaeidae. The record is from RefSeq and is a predicted model, not a curated record.
GUUUAGCCAUACGUCUCUUAAGACGGCUAAACCCGAAUGAUUCUAAUUCUUGGUCUAGCACUGCAUAACCAUAGUUCAAUAAACAUAUGGAAAAUAUGGUUUAAAGGCCUCCGCACACGGAGCAAUACGAAAACAGUAAAAAGUUGCAAAGCGAUGUUGGCGAUACUUGUGAUAUUGGUAACAUUGGUGAUCUGAGGAACUAGGGGAGCAUUUUAAACAGUCAACUUGUGCGUCCUAUUGCGUAAAAAUGUCGAGUGCAUCAAGCGACGAAGAAAUGUUGUAUUUGUAUCGGUACAGAAGAAACAGAAACAGGUUCAUCCUUAUAACGAGCGAAACAUAAGAUGUGGGUUGUUCGUGGCAACUGCAAGAAUGUGAUACAAAUGCCUUGCAUUCUACAUGAUACAUGAGGGAAUGUGUCACUGCUGAAGAAAGGAUUUUAAUUACAUUAAGUUGAGGUUCAGCAGUUAAAGGAGGAUUAUAUUCAUUAUUUGGACGAGAGGGACGCUAUUUCGGAUGGAAAUCUUUGAGGAAUAGAAGAGUGACUAGGGCUGCAAACAACACUUAUUAUCUCACCAAUUAAAACGAAAGUUUUUCGCUUGAACAAUCUUAUUUGAGCAUCAGUCAGUGGCAAGAUGUUGGGACAAUGCUGUUGAAAAAGUCUAAAAGUCCCUCUUUCCUUCCGUCUUUAGAUCCAAGUGAUUUUUUUUCGCAACGUAAUAUUCUGCGACUGCUUUAUCGACAUCGUUUUCAGAAGUACAGGAUUUUCUUUUUUUACUACAUUGUUUUCUCGCAGCCGGAAGAAUUUCGGGCAGUUGUGGUUCAGGAUUAUCAGGCUGUUUGCUGAUUUCCGACAGAGAAUGUUGUGGUACUAAAGAUGUAGAUGCAAGAUAUGUUGGAGUUGGUAGUAAUAGUGGUGAUAGAAAGGGAGACAAAAAGGCAUCAUCCUCAGAUUCGGGACGUUCAAUAGUUUCAGUUUCAGGGACAAUUUCCUCUGUUCUUUUAGAAUUUUUAUAUACAUUACUUCCUCUUCAAAUGCUAAACACACCCAUACGUAGCAGAGAUGUUACCAAAGUUAAUGUUACCACAACCUCAUACGCAAAAGAGAGGGAUGUCAAUACACAUUUCGAAACGAAGAAGAAAACAUUGAAAUUGUUUCCUCCUAACAUUCCUCCCUGUGUGGCUUCUACUAUAAGCAUGGUGAAUGGUGCAUCAGCAGGUUUUGAGGUUAGAAACUAUUUGGCAAGUUAUCUUUUAAAGCCGCAAGCAUCUCUUCCAUGGCAACGGAAAUAUUUUGUGUAAAAUUAAAUAUGUUAUAAGUUAUAAAGAGCUAAUAAAUUAUUCCAUCUACUACUUA